CGGUUGAUCCUGCCGGAGGUUACUGCUAUCGGGGUUCGAUUAAGCCAUGCGAGUCAAAUGUUCUUCGUGAACAUGGCGAACUGCUCAGUAACACGUGGAUAACCUACCCUUAGGACCGGAAUAACCCCGGGAAACUGGGGAUAAUACCGGAUAAGCCAUAGACGCUGGAAUGCCCUAUGGUUCAAAGCUCCGGCGCCUAAGGAUGGAUCUGCGGUCUAUCAGGUUGUAGUGGGUGUAACGUACCUACUAGCCGACGACGGAUACGGGUUGUGAGAGCAAGAGCCCGGAGAUGGAUUCUGAGACACGAAUCCAGGCCCUACGGGGUGCAGCAGGCGCGAACACUUUACAAUGCGGGAAACCGCGAUAAGGGAACCCCGAGUGCCAGCAUCAAAUGUUGGCUGUCCAGAUGGUUAAAAAUCAUUUGUUAGCAAGGGCCGGGCAAGACCGGUGCCAGCCGCCGCGGUAACACCGGCGGCCCGAGUGGUAGCCACUAUUAUUGGGUCUAAAGGGUCCGUAGCCGGUUCGAUAAGUCCUCUGGGAAAUCUGGUUGCUUAACAAUCAGACUGCCAAGGGAUACUGUCGAACUUGAGACCGGGAGAGGUAAGAGGUACUUCAGGGGUAGGAGUGAAAUCUUGUAAUCCCUGGGGGACCAUCUGUGGCGAAGGCGUCUUACCAGAACGGGUCUGACGGUGAGGGACGAAAGCUGGGGGCGCAAACCGGAUUAGAUACCCGGGUAGUCCCAGCCGUAAACGAUGCUCGCUAUGUGUC
This 768-nucleotide ribosomal RNA is filed under the name uncultured archaeon. RNAcentral's name for it is "bacterial SSU rRNA". It matches the Rfam family "Archaeal small subunit ribosomal RNA", at positions 5 to 775 of the family's 1478-position model. The record is from RNAcentral.